UACGUAGGUGGCAAGCGUUGUCCGGAUUUACUGGGCGUAAAGAGCGCGCAGGCGGUCGGAUCAGUCGAAUGUGAAAGCCCCCGGCUCAACUGGGGAGGGUCAUUCGAUACUGUCCGACUCGAAGGCAGGAGAGGGAAGCGGAAUUCCCGGUGUAGUGGUGAAAUGCGUAGAUAUCGGGAGGAACACCAGUGGCGAAGGCGGUUCUCUGGGCAUUACCUGACGCUGAGGAGCGAAAGUGUGGGGAGCGAACAGG
Molecule: ribosomal RNA, 253 nt
Filed under: uncultured bacterium
Lineage: Bacteria
Description: partial 16S ribosomal RNA
Rfam family: Bacterial small subunit ribosomal RNA
Source: RNAcentral